Molecule: long non-coding RNA, 1512 nt
Filed under: Phasianus colchicus (ring-necked pheasant)
Lineage: Eukaryota; Metazoa; Chordata; Aves; Galliformes; Phasianidae
Description: lncRNA (ENSPCLG00000017664.1)
Source: RNAcentral
GGUGUUUGAUAGGGGGUGUUAGGAUUUAUAGGGGCUGUGGUGGCUUGGGGACCAGAAUUGGGAGAAUGGGGGAUUGAGGGGGCUGAGACUGUUCCCUAUGGGGGCUUUUAGGGGGGUCCUGGGGAGGUUUGUGGUCUGUGGAUGGGGCUGGUGGGGGUGUGUGGAGGGGUUGUGCGAGGUUAUAGGGGCCCUGUGGGUUGUGAGGGGCUCUGUGUGAACUUUUGGGGGUUUUCUAUGGGGUUUGUGGGGGCUUCUUGGGGUUCUAUGGGGUACAGAGAUGAAUAGGGGCUGAAAUUUGAAGUGGGAUUGGGAAUUAUUGGGAUUUAGGAGAUGGGAUUUAUAGGGGUUGGGGUUGAGAUUCGAAGGGGGAGCUGGGAUUAAAAGGGAUUGGGAUUAGGAAUUGAAAGAAGGUCGGGAAUUACUGGGAUUGAGGUUUAGGGGAUGGAAUUGGGACCCUUUCAGCCCUGCACACUUGCAGAUUUUAGCUAAAAUUUAGGGGAGAAACGCUGUUUUUUAGAGAAUUUUCAGCACGACCUUCUCCUGCAGCCCCAAUUUAUGGUUUUUUUCCCCCAAAUCCUGUUAUCUGAAGGCUGCGGGCAUCCCGUGUGCUGCUGGUGGGGCUGCGUGGUCUCGGCGCAGAGGUGGCCAAGAAUCUCAUCCUGGCAGGAGUGCGGGCGCUUACCAUGCUGGACCACCACCAGGUGUCCCCUGAGGACACACGGGCUCAAUUCCUGGUCCCUGCUGGCUCUGUGGGGCGCAAUAGGGCCGAAGCGUCGCUGGAACGGGCGCAGAACCUCAACCCCAUGGUGGAUGUCAAGGCCGACCCCGAAAGCGUCGAGAGCAAACCUGAAUCUUUCUUCACCCAAUUCGAUGCUGUGAGAGAGAGAGAGCCCCCAAAAAUGUGGGGUUUGGGAGGAAAAUGGGGCGAAGGGAAGCGUUGUUGGGGGUUGUAGGGUUUCUGGGUGGGUUUUGGGGUUGGGGGGAACGAGGGUUGGGGCAUGGAGACCCCAGGGCAGUGCUGUGGUGGUGGUGAGGUUGCUCUGCGGGCUGUGGGAUGGACCUGAGUGCAAAAAUCUGGGGGGUUUUGCCCCAUUUUUUUGUGUUAAAAGGAUUCCUAAAGUGUCUCGAAAUCCUGGGGUUGGGCUGGGGUGUCCAGUGAGCCCCCAGUGGGAUUGGGAUUAUGAAAUGGGACUGGGAUUGGGCCUCAAAGGGAUUGGGACUGGGAUUACGAUUGGGUGGAAGAGGGAUUGGGAUUGGGACUGAGAUUGGGACUGGGUCUCAAAGGGAUUGGGGUUAAAGGGGAUGGGAUGAAGGGGAUGGAUUGGGAUUAAGGGGUGGGGUUGGGAUUAAGGGUUGGAAUUAAGGGAUGGAAUUGGGAUUAAGGGAUGAUAUUAGGAUUAAGAUGGGAUUAAGGGGUGGGAUUGAGAUUAAGGGGUGGAAUUGGGAUUAAGAUGUUGGGAUUAAAGGGUGGGGUUGGGAUUAAGGGAUUGGGAUUAAGAUGUUAGGAUUAAG